GACGAACGCUGGCGGCGUGCUUAACACAUGCAAGUCGAACGGAAAGGCCCUGCUUUUGUGGGGUGCUCGAGUGGCGAACGGGUGAGUAACACGUGAGUAACCUGCCCUUGACUUUGGGAUAACUUCAGGAAACUGGGGCUAAUACCGGAUAGGAGCUCCUGCUGCAUGGUGGGGGUUGGAAAGUUUCGGCGGUUGGGGAUGGACUCGCGGCUUAUCAGCUUGUUGGUGGGGUAGUGGCUUACCAAGGCUUUGACGGGUAGCCGGCCUGAGAGGGUGACCGGCCACAUUGGGACUGAGGUACGGCCCAGACUCCUACGGGAGGCAGCAGUGGGGAAUAGUGCACAAUGGGCGGAAGCCUGAUGCAGCAACGCCGCGUGCGGGAUGACGGCCUUCGGGUUGUAAGCCGCUUUCGCCUGUGACGAAGCGUGAGUGACGGUAAUGGGUAAAGAAGCACCGGCUAACUACGUG
RNAcentral lists this ribosomal RNA (468 nucleotides) under uncultured bacterium. Its description in RNAcentral is "partial 16S ribosomal RNA". It matches the Rfam family "Bacterial small subunit ribosomal RNA", at positions 28 to 507 of the family's 1533-position model. The record is from RNAcentral.